Molecule: long non-coding RNA, 739 nt
Organism: Hordeum vulgare subsp. vulgare (domesticated barley)
Lineage: Eukaryota; Viridiplantae; Streptophyta; Magnoliopsida; Poales; Poaceae
Exons: 2
Source: RefSeq, a predicted model, not a curated record
GUCAUGGCGUCGUGCACGCAGACCCGCAGCUCCCGUUGGCAUGGCCUGGUAGUCGUUGUCGUGGUCUUGGAUGACGGUGGUUCACCAUCUUGCUUCCAGCGCUGACGAGACAAUGGGUUUGUCGCCAGUAAUCUCAGCGUCGGCUCCCACGACUGCCUCCUCGGCUACCACUACUUAGUCUGGCGCAGUGGAGAGAAUCUGCCAAGAGGUCCUGGGUUCGGCGCAGUCCCUCUGCAUUGCACUGUCCAGGGGUAAGGCUUGCCUCGUAUGACUCCAUUGGCUUAAGGCGUCCGGAAUCGGGCGCUAUGGCGGCUGGUGAGGAGGUGGCUGCGGGGUGAAGUUUCCAGAAAAUGUAGCUGAUUCUUUGAGGUCAUCCAACCUUCUACAACCUCGGCUUCUCAACCGCCGCAGUGGGGGCCACCUCUUCCUUGGUUCAGGUGAGUCCUUGGUCUCUUUCUCUCUGAGAUUGUACAGCCGUCGAGUUUGGUAGACUGUUGUGCUGGCCAUGGAGCUGAUGAUUUUGUGUUUGGAUUUGAGGUGGUGGUCUUCCGGCCACCACAAUCUUGUGAUUGUGAUAUGAUAAAUCUUGUUGGUCGAUGAGGUUAGGCCCCUUUUCUACUGCACGGUGCUGUUGCUACAGGGUUGAUAAUGGUCCAUGUUUAGUUUAAUAGGAUCAAAAUGAUAUGGUUUUAACUUGUUAAUGGAUAUCACAUAGUCCCUCUGUGUAGGGCUGUAGGCA